GGACUACCAGGGUUUCUAAUCCCGUUCGCUCCCCUGGCUUUCGCGUCUCAGCGUCAGUAAGCGUCCAGGACCUCGCUUUCGCCACGGGCGUUCCUUCCGAUCUCAACGCAUUUCACCGCUCCACCGGAAGUUCCAGGUCCCCCUACGCCCCUCCAGAAGAGUCGUAUCCGCGCCACUUCCCCGGUUGAGCCGGGGGAUUUCAGCUGCGGACGUGCCCUUCCGCCUACACGCGCUUUAAGCCCAGUGAUUCCGAAUAACGUUCGCACGGUUCGUCUUACCGCGGCUGCUGGCAC
RNAcentral lists this ribosomal RNA (293 nucleotides) under uncultured bacterium. Its description in RNAcentral is "partial 16S ribosomal RNA". RNAcentral also lists the same sequence under 2 other names. The record is from RNAcentral.